Molecule: ribosomal RNA, 253 nt
Filed under: uncultured bacterium
Lineage: Bacteria
Description: partial 16S ribosomal RNA
Rfam family: Bacterial small subunit ribosomal RNA
Source: RNAcentral
CACGUAGGGCGCAAGCGUUGUCCGGAAUCAUUGGGCGUAAAGAGCUCGUAGGCGGUCUGUUGCGUCCGCUGUGAAAACCCGGGGCUUAACCCCUGGCUUGCAGUGGAUACGGACAGACUAGAGGUAGGUAGGGGAGAAUGGAAUUCCCGGUGUAGCGGUGAAAUGCGCAGAUAUCGGGAGGAACACCGGUGGCGAAGGCGGUUCUCUGGGCCUUACCUGACGCUGAGGAGCGAAAGCGUGGGGAGCGAACAGG